GACGAACGCUGGCGGCGUGCUUAACACAUGCAAGUCGAACGGAAAGGCCCUGCUUGCAGGGUACUCGAGUGGCGAACGGGUGAGUAACACGUGGGUGAUCUGCCCUGCACUUCGGGAUAAGCCUGGGAAACUGGGUCUAAUACCGGAUAGGAGCCAUUUUUAGUGUGAUGGUUGGAAAGUUUUUUCGGUGUAGGAUGAGCUCGCGGCCUAUCAGCUUGUUGGUGGGGUAAUGGCCUACCAAGGCGGCGACGGGUAGCCGGCCUGAGAGGGUGGACGGCCACUUUGGGCCUGGGUUACGCCCCGGCCUCCUCCGGGAGGCAGCGGUGGGGAUUAUUGCCCAAUGGGCGCAACCCUGUGCCAGCGACGCCCCGUGGGGGAUGACGGCCUUCGGUUUUUAACCUCCUUUCGCUAGGAACGAAGCUUUUUUGGCCGUUCCUUAGUAAAGAAGCACCGCUAACCUCCUU
Molecule: ribosomal RNA, 464 nt
Filed under: uncultured bacterium
Lineage: Bacteria
Description: partial 16S ribosomal RNA
Rfam family: Bacterial small subunit ribosomal RNA
Source: RNAcentral